This is a long non-coding RNA of Rosa rugosa (rugosa rose), 2486 nucleotides long. RefSeq lists it as uncharacterized. The transcript is spliced from 4 exons. NCBI's taxonomy places the organism in Eukaryota, Viridiplantae, Streptophyta, Magnoliopsida, Rosales, Rosaceae. The record is from RefSeq and is a predicted model, not a curated record.
AUAAAAACAAAAACACUCGCUCUCAUCUCUCAUCUCUCAUCUCUCAUCUCUCUCUCACUCUGUCUGCCUCUUCUCAAUUGUCGCCCACAUCGCUCUCUCUCCUCUCUUUUGUUCUUUCUGGGCAAUUCUCAGGAUUGGUCCAUCUUCCGAUGAUGGGUGGGUUUCGAUCAUUUCCGUCGUUCAAAGAUUCAUUCUUUCUUUUCACUGGUUGUUAUCUCAGUACUUAAUCUAUUCUUUUAGCUUUGUUUUAUCUCAAUUUCAUAUUGUUCCCUUGUCUAUAUGCAUUUGUUGAUGUGUAUAUUGCUCAAUUUCACAGCUUUUGCAUGUCCUGUGUGAUUUUGGACUCUGAUUUUCAUAUGGUUUUUGGGUGUGCACAUAAGUUUCAAUUGAUUUGUUAUAUGCUUUACAGAAUUAGAUGUUCUUAUCUAGCAUUUUUUUGGUAGUGUGGCUCUACUGGUUUUGUUGUAGAUCUUAUAUGUCAUAUCUAGUUUUUUUUUCUUUUCUACUUUUGUAACAAUAUAAGUAAUUUAACACCAAUUUUGAUAUCCUUAUAGCUCAAAAAUUGGGCACUUAAUUUUCUAAUAAGAAACAUGGCUGUUCUUAUCUAGCUCUAUUCUUUUGGCAGUGGAAAACUAGUUCACAAGGUCCAAUGACUAGCUAGGCAUAAAUUGACGUAAGAUUUUUUUGAUAGAUAAGCAUUAUUGUACCUCACUAAUUCGAUGAUAUUAAUUCCAGCAUACGUUUGAUUUUUAUUAAUUUGUGCACUUAGUUUAUGUGUUAUAGAAAUAUUUCGUCUGACAGUUUGAACUUUGUACUUUCAGUAUGCUAGGAAUCCAAUCAGAUGAUGAACCACAGUUUACUUAGGUAAAUAUUUGUCUUUUAUAUAUGUUAACCAGGCUAAUCAUUUGUUUUUUGCACAAUAAGAUGGCCAAAGGGUAAGUUGGAGUUCUCUAAGGACUGGAAAGCCAAAUCUGAUUGCCACCUUGGAGAGAAUUAAGCGCAAUUAUAAUGAGUGGUUGGAAACUAUCAACUGUAAUGAAGCUCAAAUUGAUGAUCGAACUGGGAAUGAGCCACCCUCUCAUGCCAGUCAGCAUAAUUGGCAACCCCCUCCCCACCCAUUUGUGAAAAUCAAUGUCGAUGGUGCCUGGGAUGAAACCAACCAUACAAGUGGGGUGGGAGUAAUCAUUAGAAAUCAUAGAGGUUUCUCUAUUGCAGGUGCAAGUCUACAUGGGAACCACAACUCUUCCAUAGAAGUGGAAGCGGAUGCAGUGGUAAAAGGUCUUCAGUUUGCAGCCCAUUUGAAGCUUAAAAAUAUCAUUAUGGAAGGUGACUGUCUUGAGAUCAUCAGGGCCUUGGAGAAUCAAGCCAACCAUCACAGUUGGAAGAUCUCUCCCAUAGGGUUUACCUUCGUUCACUGGAAUCAGAUGGAGCUGGAUCCCCAGAGAAGCUAACCGUGUUGCGGAUGCAGCGGCUAAGCUUGCUAAAAUGAGGUUGUGCUCACAGGAUUGGGCUAAUAGGCCCCCAACCUUCCUCCUGUCUAUUUUGAGAAGUGAUGGUCUUCCUGGCCCUCCCUAACUAUCCAUCAGUUUGCUACAGUUUGUUUCUGUUUUGUUAGUAGGUUCUAGUUGUAGGUUCCAUCUUAUAUGUUUGUCUCCUUUCUUUCCCUGUAAGUCUUGCCUUUCUGGCCUUUGCAAUGAAUUUUUCUUCAGACAAGAAAAAAAAGGGGGUAAGUUGGAGUUCAUAGAUGUACAAGUACAACUUUGCUUAACUUAGCUGAGUCAGAUGCAUUUUGUUGCCGACUUGCCUUUUUAUGAUGACUCGUUUAGUGUUAUUGUGUGCUUCAACUUAGACUAAUUAUACUCGAGUUACUGAAGUUGGAAACUUUAUAAUUAAAGUCUGUGCUUGUGAAUUCCAUUUGUUUCUACAAUUACUUCAUAUCAUGUGGCAUAUGAUCCAUUUCCUGCCUUACAGGUUUGACUAGGAGUUUAACAAUGAAGUUGCAACUCAAGUAAUCUAGCUAUUUGCAAGAUUUGGAAUUAACCUAGUGGAAAAGUUUGAAGUUGAAGGUGGUGUUAUAUUCAUGGCAGCUCCAGUCGAUCUGUUGCAACUGGAUUUCAGAAUUUUCAAAAGUUGAAGUUGUCACCGGAGCUUAACCAGAAGUUGAAGUCGUCACCGGAUCUUAACCAGAAGUUGAAGUCAUUUAGUAGAAGUUGGUUUAUAGAGGUAGAGAAGUUGAAGUUAUUUAGUAGAAGUUGGUUUAUAGAGGUAGAAAUGCUCUAGUCAUGAUAACGAGGCCAUCAUAUAUUCCUUGGUGAAAUAUUUCUUUACUUGUUCCAGUGUGUAAGUCUUUGGAUUGCUGGUUUGAUGAACUUUGUUGGAGUUAUUUUGCUAUGUAUUGCUGUUUGGUAUGCAUUCCUUUGUGGCAGUUGAUGGAAAUAUCAAAUAUGUAGUUUGCAGCUAUGAAAAAAAAAUAUAUUGUUCAACAA